Molecule: unclassified non-coding RNA, 213 nt
Filed under: Hevea brasiliensis (rubber tree)
Lineage: Eukaryota; Viridiplantae; Streptophyta; Magnoliopsida; Malpighiales; Euphorbiaceae
Source: RNAcentral
UAUACUGAUUUUCACACAUCAUAAUGAAAGCACCUAAGCAUAACGUGAAACCAAAGGUCCACUUUUGUCUUCCAAGACGAAGAAUUACUACGCUCCUCCCCAGGCAGUUACCCCAGGCAGUUAAAUGGGUAAAUACACUAUCAUUUUGCACUUCUACACCAUUUUAUUUCGAAAACUAAAAGAGAUGUCACUGACCUCAAAGUUCAACUUUUG